AGUGAGAGGGAAGAGCCCAAGAUUGAAAGCUGGCGCCUUCGGCGUCCGCAUUGUAAUCUCAAGAAGUGUUUUCCGCUUCGGACCAUGCCUAAGUCCCUUGGAAAAGGGCAUCAUAGAGGGUGAUAAUCCCGUACAUGGCAUGGAGCGCCCGAAGCUUUGUGAUACGCUUUCUAAGAGUCGAGUUGUUUGGGAAUGCAGCUCAAAAUGGGUGGUAAAUGCCAUCUAAGGCUAAAUAUUGGGGAGAGACCGAUAGCGAACAAGUACAGUGAUGGAAAGAUGAAAAGAACUUUGAAAAGAGAGUUAAACAGUACGUGAAAUUGCCAAAAGGGAAGGGUAGGAGGUCAGAGAUGCGUCGCAGGAUUCAGCCUUGCUUUUGCUUGGUGUUUUUCCUGCGUUGCAGGCCAACGUCGGUUUUGGGCACUGGAGAAGGGUAGGAGGAACGUGGCACCUCUCGGGGUGUGUUAUAGCCUCCUACUGGAUACAGCGACCGAGACCGAGGAACGCAGCGUACUCGUAAGAGCGGGCCUUUUGGCACCUUUACGCUUAGGGCGUUGGCAUAAUGGCCCUCUACCACCCGUCUUGAAACACGGACC
This 593-nucleotide ribosomal RNA is filed under the name Pseudozyma hubeiensis. RNAcentral's name for it is "eukaryotic LSU rRNA". It matches the Rfam family "Eukaryotic large subunit ribosomal RNA", at positions 92 to 667 of the family's 3401-position model. The record is from RNAcentral. Lineage: Eukaryota; Fungi; Basidiomycota; Ustilaginomycetes; Ustilaginales; Ustilaginaceae.